Molecule: ribosomal RNA, 497 nt
Filed under: uncultured bacterium
Lineage: Bacteria
Description: partial 16S ribosomal RNA
Rfam family: Bacterial small subunit ribosomal RNA
Source: RNAcentral
GAUGAACGCUGGCGGCGUGCCUAAUACAUGCAAGUCGAGCGAACAGACGAGGAGCUUGCUCCUUCGACGUUAGCGGCGGACGGGUGAGUAACACGUGGAUAACCUACCUAUAAGACUGGGAUAACUUCGGGAAACCGGAGCUAAUACCGGAUAAUAUUUCGAACCGCAUGGUUCAAUAGUGAAAGAUGGCUUUGCUGUCACUUAUAGAUGGACCCGCGCCGCAUUAGCUAGUUGGUAAGGUAACGGCUUACCAAGGCAACGAUGCGUAGCCGACCUGAGAGGGUGAUCGGCCACACUGGAACUGAGACACGGUCCAGACUCCUACGGGAGGCAGCAGUAGGGAAUCUUCCGCAAUGGGCGAAAGCCUGACGGAGCAACGCCGCGUGAGUGAUGAAGGUCUUCGGAUCGUAAAACUCUGUUAUUAGGGAAGAACGAAUGUGUAAGUAACUGUGCACGUCUUGACGGUACCUAAUCAGAAAGCCACGGCUAACUACGUG